AUAUAACUAAGCGGAGGAAAAGAAACUAACCAGGAUUCCCCUAGUAACGGCGAGUGAAGCGGGAAUAGCUCAGACGUUUAAUCUUCGGAAAUGUCGUCUGUAGAAGCAUGAUAUAGUCUAAAAGAUGAACUAAAUCUUCUGGAAUGAAGUGCCAAGGAGGGUGACAGCCCCGUUCAAGUUCAUCGACUAGAUGUUUUCAGCUUUCAACGAGUCGAGUUGUUUGGGAUUGCAGCUCUAAGUGGGUGGUAAAUUCCAUCUAAAGCUAAAUAUUGGUGGGAGACCGAUAGCGCACAAGUA
Molecule: ribosomal RNA, 297 nt
Filed under: uncultured eukaryote
Lineage: Eukaryota
Description: partial large subunit ribosomal RNA
Rfam family: Eukaryotic large subunit ribosomal RNA
Source: RNAcentral